RNAcentral lists this transfer RNA (77 nucleotides) under Clostridia bacterium. Its description in RNAcentral is "tRNA-Arg". It matches the Rfam family "tRNA". Rfam says of the family: Transfer RNA (tRNA) molecules are approximately 80 nucleotides in length. Their secondary structure includes four short double-helical elements and three loops (D, anti-codon, and T loops). Lineage: Bacteria; Bacillati; Bacillota; Clostridia. The record is from RNAcentral.
GUCCCCGUAGCUCAGCUGGAUAGAGCGUUCGCCUCCUAAGCGAAAGGCCGCGCGUUCGAAUCGCGCCGGGGACGCCA